This is a long non-coding RNA of Hyla sarda, 301 nucleotides long. RefSeq lists it as uncharacterized. The record is from RefSeq and is a predicted model, not a curated record. The transcript is spliced from 3 exons. NCBI's taxonomy places the organism in Eukaryota, Metazoa, Chordata, Amphibia, Anura, Hylidae.
GCAUGGUGAACACAGAGCAGCCAACAUUAGUAGUACGGCUCCCCACCACUGUGGGUAUGUGCCCCAUCCGAGACCCCAUACCGGUGAUGAGGCAGACAACAGUGACGGGCAUAUAAACCGGGACUGUCCGGAUUGCCAUUACUGGUUGUUGCAUCGGCCGCCACUUUGAGCACACCUUAUAUAGUGAGCACUGAUGAAUGGGUGCCACUUCAUAAGCAUUGAUAGUGAGCACUGAGUGUCGGGUGCCACUGUAUGUUAUAUGAUACUAUAUUAUUUGAGUCAUCCACAUGUAUAAAUUGUA